This 253-nucleotide ribosomal RNA is filed under the name uncultured bacterium. RNAcentral's name for it is "partial 16S ribosomal RNA". It matches the Rfam family "Archaeal small subunit ribosomal RNA", at positions 474 to 727 of the family's 1478-position model. The record is from RNAcentral.
UACCAGCACCCCGAGUGGUCGGGACGAUUAUUGGGCCUAAAGCAUCCGUAGCCGGUUCUACAAGUCUUCCGUUAAAUCCACCUGCUUAACAGAUGGGCUGCGGAGGAUACUGUGGAGCUAGGAGGCGGGAGAGGCAAGCGGUACUUAGUGGGUAGGGGUAAAAUCCGUUGAUCCAUUGAAGACCACCAGUGGCGAAGGCGGCUUGCCAGAACGCACUCGACGGUGAGGGAUGAAAGCUGGGGGAGCAAACCGG